RNAcentral lists this transfer RNA (69 nucleotides) under Daubentonia madagascariensis (aye-aye). RNAcentral's name for it is "tRNA-Gly". Lineage: Eukaryota; Metazoa; Chordata; Mammalia; Primates; Daubentoniidae. The record is from RNAcentral.
AUUCUUUUAGUAUUAACACAGUACAGUUGACUUCCAACAACUAGCUUCGGACAGACCCGAAAAAGAAUA